CUUUAUUCAUGUAGAUGCUAACAUCUUUCAAAUAUGAGCUAGGGUCAUAGGUCACCAUCUCAGAUUUAAUGAUACUUUAUUCAUGUAGAUGCUAACACCUUUCAAAUAUGAGCUUGGGUUGAAGGGCUUAGAAGUGUUUGUGUAAACAUGGCCAAAGGGCAAUCAAAUCUCGUGUUAAAUUAUGACGGCGCGUAUCUAGUCAUGGUGGCGAAAAGCGAAAAAUUAUAAGCGUUAGCCCUUUUCUGUGAUUCGAAUCAGUAAAUCAAAACACCAAUAGAGCUCUUCUAUGUUUGGUAAAAGAUCUUUACGAGUAGUGUCCAACACAAUAUGGGUUGGUGAAUGUGGAUAAAUGUGAGAGAAGGUUUUUUGAAUAUUACAAUUUUAUAUUUUCUGUUUGAUCGUUGAUUUAGUAAAAAUAAAUUUUCAAAAUCUGUGAUGACGUGUUUGCUGUACUCUCUGC
Non-coding RNA from Biomphalaria pfeifferi, 460 nucleotides. Lineage: Eukaryota; Metazoa; Mollusca; Gastropoda; Planorbidae. The record is from the annotation of a GenBank genome assembly.